UGGCGGCCUUAGCGCGGUGGUCCCACCUGACCCCAUGCCGAACUCAGAAGUGAAACGCCGUAGCGCCGAUGGUAGUGUGGGGUCUCCCCAUGCGAGAGUAGGGAACUGCCAGGCA
Molecule: ribosomal RNA, 115 nt
Filed under: Pantoea ananatis
Lineage: Bacteria; Pseudomonadati; Pseudomonadota; Gammaproteobacteria; Enterobacterales; Erwiniaceae
Also listed under: 1208 other names
Source: RNAcentral